RNAcentral lists this ribosomal RNA (853 nucleotides) under Burkholderia sp. RNAcentral describes it as "bacterial SSU rRNA". It matches the Rfam family "Bacterial small subunit ribosomal RNA", at positions 56 to 903 of the family's 1533-position model. The record is from RNAcentral. Lineage: Bacteria; Pseudomonadati; Pseudomonadota; Betaproteobacteria; Burkholderiales; Burkholderiaceae.
UGCAAGUCGAACGGCAGCACGGGAGCAAUCCUGGUGGCGAGUGGCGAACGGGUGAGUAAUACAUCGGAACGUGUCCUGGAGUGGGGGAUAGCCCGGCGAAAGCCGGAUUAAUACCGCAUACGCUCUGUGGAGGAAAGCGGGGGAUCUUUCGGGACCUCGCGCUCAAGGGGCGGCCGAUGGCAGAUUAGCUAGUUGGUGGGGUAAAGGCCUACCAAGGCGACGAUCUGUAGCUGGUCUGAGAGGACGACCAGCCACACUGGGACUGAGACACGGCCCAGACUCCUACGGGAGGCAGCAGUGGGGAAUUUUGGACAAUGGGGGAAACCCUGAUCCAGCAAUGCCGCGUGUGUGAAGAAGGCCUUCGGGUUGUAAAGCACUUUUGUCCGGAAAGAAAUCCUCUGGCCUAAUACGUCGGGGGGAUGACGGUACCGGAAGAAUAAGCACCGGCUAACUACGUGCCAGCAGCCGCGGUAAUACGUAGGGUGCAAGCGUUAAUCGGAAUUACUGGGCGUAAAGCGUGCGCAGGCGGUUCGCUAAGACAGAUGUGAAAUCCCCGGGCUUAACCUGGGAACUGCAUUUGUGACUGGCGGGCUAGAGUAUGGCAGAGGGGGGUAGAAUUCCACGUGUAGCAGUGAAAUGCGUAGAGAUGUGGAGGAAUACCGAUGGCGAAGGCAGCCCCCUGGGCCAAUACUGACGCUCAUGCACGAAAGCGUGGGGAGCAAACAAGAUUAUAUACCCUGGUAGUCCACGCCCUAAACGAUGUCAACUGGGUUGUCGGGUCUUCAUUGACUUGGUAACGUAGCUAACGCGUGAAGUUGACCGCCUGGGGAGUACGGUCGCAAGAUUAAACUCA